UAGGGAAUCUUCCGCAAUGGACGCAAGUCUGACGGAGCAACGCCGCGUGCGUGAAGAAGGAUUUCGGUUCGUAAAGCUCUGUUGUUAAGGAAGAACGAGUGUGAGAAUGGAAAGUUCAUGCUGUGACGGUACUUAACCAGAAAGGGACGGCUAACUACGUGCCAGCAGCCGCGGUAAUACGUAGGUCCCGAGCGUUGUCCGGAUUUAUUGGGCGUAAAGCGAGCGCAGGCGGUUAGAAAAGUCUGAAGUGAAAGGCAGUGGCUCAACCAUUGUAGGCUUUGGAAACUGUUUAACUUGAGUGCAGAAGGGGAGAGUGGAAUUCCAGGUGUAGCGGUGAAAUGCGUAUAUAUAUGGAGGAACACCGGUGGCGAAAGCGGCUCUCUGGUCUGUAACUGACGCUGAGGCUCGAAAGCGUGGGGAGCGAACAGG
RNAcentral lists this ribosomal RNA (429 nucleotides) under Bacteroidota bacterium. RNAcentral's name for it is "Bacteroidetes bacterium partial 16S ribosomal RNA". It matches the Rfam family "Bacterial small subunit ribosomal RNA", at positions 355 to 776 of the family's 1533-position model. The record is from RNAcentral. Lineage: Bacteria; Pseudomonadati; Bacteroidota.